GAAUCACUUGAACCCAGGAGGUGGAGGCUGCAGUGAGCCAAGAUCGUGCCACUGCACUCCAGCCUGGGCUACAAGAGC
RNAcentral lists this microRNA precursor (78 nucleotides) under Aotus nancymaae (Ma's night monkey). RNAcentral describes it as "miRNA (ENSANAG00000005346.1)". Lineage: Eukaryota; Metazoa; Chordata; Mammalia; Primates; Aotidae. The record is from RNAcentral.